Molecule: ribosomal RNA, 133 nt
Filed under: Paramormyrops kingsleyae
Lineage: Eukaryota; Metazoa; Chordata; Actinopteri; Osteoglossiformes; Mormyridae
Source: RNAcentral
UCCAGCACGUGGUCGGCCAGACACGCUCACAGACACGGAUACUUACUAGCACCCAUUCCAGAAACUAAGCAGGUUUGAGCCUGGCCACUACUUGGAUGGGAGACCACCUAGGAAAGUAGUGUUCCUGCUGGAA